RNAcentral lists this long non-coding RNA (223 nucleotides) under Prunus persica (peach). RNAcentral's name for it is "long non-coding RNA (PPER_LNC003368)". The record is from RNAcentral. Lineage: Eukaryota; Viridiplantae; Streptophyta; Magnoliopsida; Rosales; Rosaceae.
AAUUGUAAAAUUUCAUUGACCAAUCCAUAUCGGAUUGAGUCCAAAACGUGGGGAGCAUCAUUCUAUGGUGGGUGGAGUCAUUUGGUGGCUUUUGAGUGAAAUCCAAUUUCUACAACUAUGCAAUACACCAACCACUAGAUUUCAUAACAAACUUCGUACGAACCUGAAUUGUCCAAUUUCAUGGACCAAUCGAUAUCGGAUUGAGUCCAAAACUUGGGGAUCG